CUAAUUUUCCCUGAAACUAUACUCACAUAUAUUAUUACCAUAAAAUUUUCAGAAUUUUUGGUUCAUCCAAUAAGUACAGUUUAUUCUUUAAACUCACAUUUGUUCUGCUGUCUGACAGUUCCGACCCUUCUUCACUAAAACUUAAUUAUCUCCUUAUACAGAAUUCAGAUGAUAUCUGUGUUUGUUUCUAUUGAAAAUAGACUCUUUAAUGAUUUUAAAAAUAUAAAUUCUAACCCAUAAUUAUUUGUGUACAAUUUUUUAUGAUUUUCCAAAGUCAGAACAGAGGAACCCGAAAUCAUUCU
RNAcentral lists this long non-coding RNA (302 nucleotides) under Gossypium barbadense (sea-island cotton). RNAcentral's name for it is "long non-coding RNA (GBAR_LNC013285)". Lineage: Eukaryota; Viridiplantae; Streptophyta; Magnoliopsida; Malvales; Malvaceae. The record is from RNAcentral.